UAUUCAUUCCUGCUUCCUCCUACUUGCUCCACACAUUGCCAUACAUUUGGUCUGUUAGGAGUUCCUCCUUCACACUUCCACCUCUACUUCCCCUAAAUCCGUGAUAUUUUGCA
This 113-nucleotide long non-coding RNA is filed under the name Junco hyemalis (dark-eyed junco). RNAcentral describes it as "lncRNA (ENSJHYG00000015156.1)". The record is from RNAcentral. Lineage: Eukaryota; Metazoa; Chordata; Aves; Passeriformes; Passerellidae.